This 232-nucleotide ribosomal RNA is filed under the name Clostridioides difficile. Its description in RNAcentral is "partial 16S ribosomal RNA". It matches the Rfam family "Bacterial small subunit ribosomal RNA", at positions 197 to 431 of the family's 1533-position model. Lineage: Bacteria; Bacillati; Bacillota; Clostridia; Peptostreptococcales; Peptostreptococcaceae. The record is from RNAcentral.
AAUAUCAAAGGUGAGCCAGUACAGGAUGGACCCGCGUCUGAUUAGCUAGUUGGUAAGGUAACGGCUUACCAAGGCGACGAUCAGUAGCCGACCUGAGAGGGCGAUCGGCCACAUUGGAACUGAGACACGGUCCAAACUCCUACGGGAGGCAGCAGUGGGGAAUAUUGCACAAUGGGCGAAAGCCUGAUGCAGCAACGCCGCGUGAGUGAUGAAGGCCUUCGGGUCGUAAAAC